GAUGAACGCUGGCGGCGUGCUUAACACAUGCAAGUCGAACGAACCUUCGGGUUAGUGGCGGACGGGUGAGUAACGCGUGGGAAUCUGCCCUCAGGAGGGGGAUAACGGUUGGAAGCGGCCGCUAAUACCCCAUAUGCCGAGAGGUGAAAUGAAUUUCGCCUGAGGAUGAGCCCGCGUCUGAUUAGCUAGUUGGUGAGGUAAGAGCUCACCAAGGCAUCGAUCAGUAGCUGGUCUGAGAGGAUGAUCAGCCACACUGGGACUGAGACACGGCCCAGACUCCUACGGGAGGCAGCAGUGGGGAAUUUUCCGCAAUGGGCGAAAGCCUGACGGAGCAACGCCGCGUGAGGGAUGAAGGCCUCUGGGCUGUAAACCUCUUUUAUCAAGGAAGAAGAUCUGACGGUACUUGAUGAAUAAGCCACGGCUAAUUCCGUGCCAGCAGCCGCGGUAAUACGGGAGUGGCAAGCGUUAUCCGGAAUUAUUGGGCGUAAAGCGUCCGCAGGCGGCCCAACAAGUCUGCUGUUAAAAAGUGGAGCUUAACUCCAUCAUGGCAGUGGAAACUGUUGGGCUCGAGUGUGGUAGGGGCAGAGGGAAUUCCCGGUGUAGCGGUGAAAUGCGUAGAUAUCGGGAAGAACACCAGUGGCGAAGGCGCUCUGCUGGGCCAUCACUGACGCUCAUGGACGAAAGCCAGGGGAGCGAAAGGGAUUAGAUACCCCUGUAGUCCUGGCCGUAAACGAUGAACACUAGGUGUCGGGGGGAAUCGACCCCUCCGGUGUCGUAGCCAACGCGUUAAGUGUUCCGCCUGGGGGAGUACGCACGCAAGUGUGAAACUCAAAGGAAUUGACGGGGGCCCGCACAAGCGGUGGAAGUAGGUGGUUUAAUUCGAUGCAACGCGAAGAACCUUACCAGGGUUUGACAUCCUGCGAAUCUCUUGGAAACUUGAGAGUGCCUUCGG
Molecule: ribosomal RNA, 952 nt
Filed under: uncultured bacterium
Lineage: Bacteria
Description: bacterial SSU rRNA
Rfam family: Bacterial small subunit ribosomal RNA
Source: RNAcentral